UUGAACGCUGGCGGCCGGCCUAACACAUGCAAGUCGAGCGGCAGCGCGGGGCAACCUGGCGGCGAGCGGCGGACGGGUGAGUAACGCGUAGGAAUCUACCCAGUAGCGGGGGAUAGCCCGGGGAAACUCGGAUUAAUACCGCAUACGCCCUAAGGGGGACAGCAGGGGAUCGUAAGACCUUGCACUAGUGGAAGAGCCUGCGUUGGAUUAGCUAGUUGGUAGGGUAAAGGCCUACCAAGGCGACGAUCGAUAACUGGUCUGAGAGGAUGAUCAGUCACACCGGAACUGAGACACGGUCCGGACUCCUACGGGAGGCAGCAGUGGGGAAUAUUGGACAGUGGGGGCAACCCUGAUCCAGCCAUCCCGCGUGCAGGAUGAAGGCCCUCGGGUUGUAAACUGCUUUUGUACAGAACGAAAAGGUUUCUACUAAUACUAGGAGCUCAUGACGGUACUGUAAGAAUAAGCACCGGCUAACUACGUGCCAGCCGCCGCCGUAA
RNAcentral lists this ribosomal RNA (497 nucleotides) under uncultured bacterium. RNAcentral's name for it is "partial 16S ribosomal RNA". It matches the Rfam family "Bacterial small subunit ribosomal RNA", at positions 29 to 523 of the family's 1533-position model. The record is from RNAcentral.